RNAcentral lists this ribosomal RNA (492 nucleotides) under uncultured bacterium. Its description in RNAcentral is "partial 16S ribosomal RNA". It matches the Rfam family "Bacterial small subunit ribosomal RNA", at positions 29 to 507 of the family's 1533-position model. The record is from RNAcentral.
AGUGAACGCUGGCGGUAGGCCUAACACAUGCAAGUCGAACGGCAGCACAGUAAGAGCUUGCUCUUACGGGUGGCGAGUGGCGGACGGUUGAGGAAUACAUCGCAAUCUACUUUUUCGUGGGGGAUAACGUAGGGAAACUUACGCUAAUACCCCAUACGACCUACGGGUGAAAGCAGGGGAUCUUCGGACCUUGCGCGAUUGAAUGAGGCGAUGUCUGAUUAGCUAGUUGGCGGGGUAAAGGCCCACCAAGGCGACGAUCCUUAGCUGGUCUGAGAGGAUGAUCAGGCAAACUGGAACUGAGAAACGGUCCAGACUCCUAAGGGAGGCAGCAGUGGGGAAUAUUGGACAAUGGGCGAAAGCCUGAUCCAGCCAUGCCGCGUGGGUGAAGAAGGGCUUCGGGUUGUAAAGCCCUUUUUGUUGGGAAGAAAAGCAGGAAGUUAAUACCCCGCUGUUCUGACGGUACCAAAAGAAUAAGCACCGGCUAACUUCGUG